This 329-nucleotide unclassified non-coding RNA is filed under the name Hevea brasiliensis (rubber tree). The record is from RNAcentral. Lineage: Eukaryota; Viridiplantae; Streptophyta; Magnoliopsida; Malpighiales; Euphorbiaceae.
AUUCUCUCUAUUCUCUUCUCCCUAGAACUCUAUUUCUAUUCUUUCUACUGCUUGAGAUCCUGUUGUUAGGGAUUCUGCUACAUGAUAGAUUCUUAAGUCACAUAACUGCGAUCACACUUUCCAAUUCCAACCAACAUGCGUUAAUCUUAUAAGUGGCAUUCUUCUCACUCUACGCAUCCCUUUGUAUAACAGAACCUAUGUAUUGAAAAUUAAUGAUUCAAUGCACGUCUACUCCAUCUAGUUUAACUACCCUUCUCAUGCUUUCUCUUACCUUAAGAAAUUGUGAUGCAUAUAUUCAAUUUUAAGGGGUGUUUGGUUCACCUUUUAAG